RNAcentral lists this ribosomal RNA (1114 nucleotides) under uncultured Flavobacteriaceae bacterium. Its description in RNAcentral is "bacterial SSU rRNA". It matches the Rfam family "Bacterial small subunit ribosomal RNA", at positions 412 to 1533 of the family's 1533-position model. The record is from RNAcentral. Lineage: Bacteria; Pseudomonadati; Bacteroidota; Flavobacteriia; Flavobacteriales; Flavobacteriaceae.
UGCCCUAUGGGUUGUAAACUGCUUUUACAGAGGAAGAACCACCCCCACGUGUGGGGGUUUGACGGUACUCUGCGAAUAAGGAUCGGCUAACUCCGUGCCAGCAGCCGCGGUAAUACGGAGGAUCCAAGCGUUAUCCGGAAUCAUUGGGUUUAAAGGGUCCGUAGGCGGGCAGUUAAGUCAGUGGUGAAAGUCUUCCGCUCAACGGGAGAACUGCCAUUGAUACUGAUUGUCUUGAGUUAUUAUGAAGUGGUUAGAAUGAGUAGUGUAGCGGUGAAAUGCAUAGAUAUUACUCAGAAUACCGAUUGCGAAGGCAGAUCACUAAUAAUAUACUGACGCUGAUGGACGAAAGCGUAGGUAGCGAACAGGAUUAGAUACCCUGGUAGUCUACGCCGUAAACGAUGGUUACUAGCUGUUCGGCUCAAUUGAGGGCUGAGUGGUUAAGCGAAAGUGAUAAGUAACCCACCUGGGGAGUACGUUCGCAAGAAUGAAACUCAAAGGAAUUGACGGGGGCCCGCACAAGCGGUGGAGCACGUGGUUUAAUUCGAUGAUACGCGAGGAACCUUACCAGGGCUUAAAUGUAGUCUGACAGGUCUGGAAACAGACUUUUCUUCGGACAGAUUACAAGGUGCUGCAUGGUUGUCGUCAGCCCGUGCCGUGAGGUGUCAGGUUAAGUCCUAUAACGAGCGCAACCCCUGUGGUUAGUUGCCAGCGAGUAAUGUCGGGAACUCUAGCCAGACUGCCGGUGCAAACCGCGAGGAAGGUGGGGAUGACGUCAAAUCAUCACGGCCCUUACGUCCUGGGCCACACACGUGCUACAAUGGUAGGGACAGAGAGCAGCCACUUCGCGAGAAGGAGCGAAUCUACAAACCCUAUCACAGUUCGGAUCGCAGUCUGCAACUCGACUGCGUGAAGCUGGAAUCGCUAGUAAUCGCAUAUCAGCCAUGAUGCGGUGAAUACGUUCCCGGGCCUUGUACACACCGCCCGUCAAGCCAUGGAAGCCGGGGGUACCUGAAGUCGGUCACCGCAAGGAGCCGCCUAGGGUAAAACUGGUAACUGGGGCUAAGUCGUAACAAGGUAGCCGUACCGGAAGGUGCGGCUGGAACACCUCCUUUCU